UUUUAAUGGUCUCUUUCCAUUGAGGUCCUUCCGAGGAGUUCACAGUCUCUUGAUAGCUUUGAGAUUCACUUUCUAGCAUAUAGGUCAGAAAAUCCGGACCAUAAGAUUUUUCUGUCCUUUCCCUUUUGCUACGUCUAAGUUCAACCUCAACCUCCUCUUCUGGUUCUUGGUCCUGACUAUGUUCAAUCAUAGUCUCAUACAUCCGUUUAGAAGAACUUGCCUCUUUUUUGGACCUGCAUGGAAA
This 244-nucleotide long non-coding RNA is filed under the name Olea europaea (common olive). RNAcentral's name for it is "long non-coding RNA (OEUR_LNC006419)". The record is from RNAcentral. Lineage: Eukaryota; Viridiplantae; Streptophyta; Magnoliopsida; Lamiales; Oleaceae.